GAAUCUAGCUUCAGGUCUGGGACAACCACUGGAAACGGUGGCUAAUACCGGAUGUGCCGAGAGGUGAAAGGCUUGCUGCCUGAAGAUGAGCUCGCGUCUGAUUAGCUAGUUGGUGGGGUAAGAGCCUACCAAGGCGACGAUCAGUAGCUGGUCUGAGAGGAUGAUCAGCCACACUGGGACUGAGACACGGCCCAGACUCCUACGGGAGGCAGCAGUGGGGAAUUUUCCGCAAUGGGCGAAAGCCUGACGGAGCAAUACCGCGUGAGGGAGGAAGGCUCUUGGGUUGUAAACCUCUUUUCUCAGGGAAGAAUUCAAUGACGGUACCUGAGGAAUAAGCAUCGGCUAACUCCGUGCCAGCAGCCGCGGUAAUACGGAGGAUGCAAGCGUUAUCCGGAAUGAUUGGGCGUAAAGCGUCCGCAGGUGGCUAUGAAAGUCUGCUGUUAAAGAGCAAGGCUCAACCUUGUAAAGGCAGUGGAAACUACAUGGCUAGAGUGCGUUCGGGGCAGAGGGAAUUCCUGGUGUAGCGGUGAAAUGCGUAGAGAUCAGGAAGAACACCGGUGGCGAAAGCGCUCUGCUAGGCCGCAACU
RNAcentral lists this ribosomal RNA (587 nucleotides) under Cylindrospermum sp. Y1.3. Its description in RNAcentral is "bacterial SSU rRNA". It matches the Rfam family "Bacterial small subunit ribosomal RNA", at positions 122 to 741 of the family's 1533-position model. The record is from RNAcentral. Lineage: Bacteria; Bacillati; Cyanobacteriota; Cyanophyceae; Nostocales; Nostocaceae.